Molecule: long non-coding RNA, 550 nt
Organism: Neofelis nebulosa (Clouded leopard)
Lineage: Eukaryota; Metazoa; Chordata; Mammalia; Carnivora; Felidae
Exons: 3
Source: RefSeq, a predicted model, not a curated record
CUCUGCCUUCUGGCACUUCGCCUCUUUUGCCUUCCCCUGUCUCUCCUCUUGUUUCUGCAUCACUUUCUCUGUGAUGUACAUAACUGGCUUCUAUACCAUCCUCCCACCCGCGAUGUCAAGGAGCGAUGAGCACCUCCUUGGAUCGCCCACUUCAGAUUCCCCCAUUGCUGUCCUAGGAAACCCAACUGCACUGGCCCAUUGUUGCCACUGGUUUGGGAAAAUAGCGAGGUGGUGACAGAACGAGGAAUCGCAACAGAGAAGGCGUGCCCUGCCUGAUCUUCUGCAGUCUCCCACACAGUCCCCUCAAGCUGGCCCCACUCCGCCAUUUGCCAGAUGCGAGGAGACUUGGCAGAUGAGGACCUGGACCUGACAUCAGAUACCGCUUGCUGUGCAUACCAAAUUACAACUAAUGCAGAAUGCAGAAGUAACAGACUAUAAAUUGUCGCCUCUACUUAUGCUCUGGACUCAGACCUCUGAAGAAUUAUCUCCUCUGGGUACAUGGGUGUGAAAUAAACCUCCUGCCUUCCAAGAUCUCCAACUGCUGCUUGGU